CCUACGGGGCGCUGCAGUGGGGAAUAUUGGACAAUGGGCGAAAGCCUGAUCCAGCCAUGCCGCGUGUGUGAAGAAGGCCUUCGGGUUGUAAAGCACUUUCAGUGGGGAAGAAAGCCUUGGGGCUAAUACCCUCGAGGAAGGACAUCACCCACAGAAGAAGCACCGGCUAACUCCGUGCCAGCAGCCGCGGUAAUACGGAGGGUGCGAGCGUUAAUCGGAAUUACUGGGCGUAAAGCGCGCGUAGGCGGUCUGAUAAGCCGGUUGUGAAAGCCCCGGGCUCAACCUGGGAACGGCAUCCGGAACUGUCAGGCUAGAGUGCAGGAGAGGAAGGUAGAAUUCCCGGUGUAGCGGUGAAAUGCGUAGAGAUCGGGAGGAAUACCAGUGGCGAAGGCGGCCUUCUGGACUGACACUGACGCUGAGGUGCGAAAGCGUGGGUAGCAAACAGGAUUAGAUACCCCGGGUAGUC
Molecule: ribosomal RNA, 466 nt
Filed under: Vreelandella stevensii
Lineage: Bacteria; Pseudomonadati; Pseudomonadota; Gammaproteobacteria; Oceanospirillales; Halomonadaceae
Description: partial 16S ribosomal RNA
Rfam family: Bacterial small subunit ribosomal RNA
Source: RNAcentral